ACAAAGUUUAUAUUAGAGCGUCAUCCAUUAAUGCUUUGGCUAGGAGGGGGUCUAUCGCCCUGGUUGGAGUGCAGCAGUGUAAUCAUAGCUCACUGCUGCCAUGAACUUCUGGGCUCAAGCGAUCCUCCCACCUCAGCCUCCCUGUGUGCUGGGAUUAAAAGUGUGAGCCACCGUGCCUCAUCGUAAGGGUCUUAAAAGAAACCCUAUUUCAUACUUUCUUGAUGCACUUGAUAUGGAUUAUAUAAAUCUAUGGACAAAAAUGACAUCAGUACAAUGGAAUAUUGGAGUUUUCUACCAUAAUCUCUGCAUAGUGCACUGAUUUUGACAAUCACCUAUGGAUGAAAAUACAUUUGCCAGAGUCUAGGAGUUAAAUGGAAAAGUUAACAGCACACCGUUGGAGAAAAAUAUCUGGGAGUAGAUGCAUUCAAGGGAGUAAGAAGAACAAUUACCUGCAUCACCUCACCCCCAGGGUCCACUUCUUAGUGCCAAGAUAGACUCCCUUCAGCAGGCAAUUUCUCCCAUGGGGAAAAGGAGAGUAUAAUGACCAAUUGGAUGGUGCUUUUUCCAGACCCACAAAUGGCUGCCCAUGGACCAAGCAGUAUGUACUUCCUCCAUUCUGAGCCCAUGAAAACCCCAGACUCAGUCAGACUCUGACACUCAUCAGGAUGACAAGCCUGCAAAUAGGAUCUACCCAUUUUGGGUAUGCACUCCACUGAGAGCUAUUCUGUCACUCAAUAAAGCUCCUUUCUGCCUUGCU
RNAcentral lists this long non-coding RNA (757 nucleotides) under Homo sapiens (human). Its description in RNAcentral is "HSALNT0316332". Lineage: Eukaryota; Metazoa; Chordata; Mammalia; Primates; Hominidae. The record is from RNAcentral.